GACGAACGCUGGCGGCGCGCUUAACACAUGCAAGUCGAACGGAAAGGCCUGCUUUCCCUUGUGGAUUGCGGGUACUCGAGUGGCGAACGGGUGAGUAACACGUGAGUGAUCUGCCCCCAACUUGGGUAUAAGCCUGGGAAACUGGGUCUAAUUCCCGAUAGGACUGCAGGGUGGUGCCUGUGGUGGAAAACGAUUUUCUAGUGGUUGGGGAUGAGCUCGCGGCCUAUCAGCUUGUUGGUGGGGUAAUGGCCUACCAAGGCGGCGACGGGUAGCCGGCCUGGGAGGGUGGACGGCCACAUUGGGACUGAGAUACGGCCCAGACUCCUACGGGAGGCAGCAGUGGGGAAUAUUGCACGAUGGGCGGAAGCCUGAUGCAGCGACGCCGCGUGGGGGAUGACGGCCUUCGGGUUGUAAACUCCUUUCGACCGCGAGGAAGCCACCUGGUUGGAAGGGUGGUGACGGUAGUGGUAGAAGAAGCACCGGCUAACUACGUG
This 494-nucleotide ribosomal RNA is filed under the name uncultured bacterium. Its description in RNAcentral is "partial 16S ribosomal RNA". It matches the Rfam family "Bacterial small subunit ribosomal RNA", at positions 28 to 507 of the family's 1533-position model. The record is from RNAcentral.